This 631-nucleotide ribosomal RNA is filed under the name uncultured Actinomycetales bacterium. RNAcentral's name for it is "bacterial SSU rRNA". It matches the Rfam family "Bacterial small subunit ribosomal RNA", at positions 88 to 732 of the family's 1533-position model. The record is from RNAcentral. Lineage: Bacteria; Bacillati; Actinomycetota; Actinomycetes; Actinomycetales.
UACUCGAGUGGCGAACGGGUGAGUAACACGUGGGUGAUCUGCCCUGCACUUCGGGAUAAGCUUGGGAAACUGGGUCUAAUACCGGAUAGGAGCCAUCUUUAGUGUGGUGGUUGGAAAGUUUUUUCGGUGUAGGAUGAGCUCGCGGCCUAUCAGCUUGUUGGUGGGGUAAUGGCCUACCAAGGCGGCGACGGGUAGCCGGCCUGAGAGGGUGUACGGCCACAUUGGGACUGAGAUACGGCCCAGACUCCUACGGGAGGCAGCAGUGGGGAAUAUUGCACAAUGGGCGCAAGCCUGAUGCAGCGACGCCGCGUGGGGGAUGAAGGCCCUCGGGUUGUAAACUCCUUUCGCUAGGGACGAAGCUUUGUUGUGACGGUACCUAGAUAAGAAGCACCGGCUAACUACGUGCCAGCAGCCGCGGUAAUACGUAGGGUGCGAGCGUUGUCCGGAAUUACUGGGCGUAAAGGGCUCGUAGGUGGUUUGUCGCGUCGUCUGUGAAAUUCUGGGGCUUAACUCCGGGCGUGCAGGCGAUACGGGCAUAACUUGAGUGCUGUAGGGGUAACUGGAAUUCCUGGUGUAGCGGUGAAAUACGCAGAUAUCAGGAGGAACACCGAUGGCGAAGGCAGGUUACUGG